GGGAAUGCGGCGUGCUAUACAUGCAGUCGAGCGAACAGGAGAAGGAGCUUGCUCCUUUGACGUUAGCGGCGGACGGGUGAGUAACACGUGGGCAACCUACCCUAUAGUUUGGGAUAACUCCGGGAAACCGGGGCUAAUACCGAAUAAUCUUUUGUCCCUCAUGGGACAAUACUGAAAGACGGUUUCGGCUGUCGCUAUAGGAUGGGCCCGCGGCGCAUUAGCUAGUUGGUGAGGUAACGGCUCACCAAGGCAACGAUGCGUAGCCGACCUGAGAGGGUGAUCGGCCACACUGGGACUGAGACACGGCCCAGACUCCUACGGGAGGCAGCAGUAGGGAAUCUUCCACAAUGGGCGAAAGCCUGAUGGAGCAACGCCGCGUGAGUGAAGAAGGAUUUCGGUUCGUAAAACUCUGUUGUAAGGGAAGAACAAGUACAGUAGUAACUGGCUGUACCUUGACGGUACCUUAUUAGAAAGCCACGGCUAACUACCUGCCAGCAGCCGCGGUAAUACGUAAGUGGCAAGCGUUGUCCGGAAUUAUUGGGCGUAAAGCGCGCGCAGGUGGUUUCUUAAGUCUGAUGUGAAAGCCCACGGCUCAACCGUGGAAGGUCAUUGGAAACUGGGAGACUUGAGUGCAGAAAAAGAUAGUGGAAUUCCAAGUGUAGCGGUGAAAUGGGUAAAGAUUUGGAAGAACACCAGUGGCGAAGGCCACUAUCUGGUCUGGAACUGACACUGAAGGCGCCAAAGCGUGGGGAGCAAACCGGAUUACAUACCCUGGUAGUCCCCGCCGUAAACGAUGAAUGGCUAGUGUUUGUGGGGUUUCCGCCCCUUAGUGCUGCAACUAACGCAUUUAAGCACUCCGCCUGGGGGAGACGGGUCGCACGAGUGUAAAUUCAAAAUGAAAUUGAACGGGGGCCCGCUCCAAGCGGGUGGAGCAUGCUGGUUUAUUUCGAAGCAACCUGGAAAAAACCUUACCAAGCCUUGACAUCGCGCUGAACAACUGUAGAGGAGAGUGUUUGUCCCUUUCGGCGACCAAGGUGCACGGGGGGUGCGUGGUUGUUCUUGACUUCCGUCCCGAGGAGAUGUGUGUGUAAGGUCCGAAAACCCGUAGCGAAACCCGCGGGCCUGA
This 1126-nucleotide ribosomal RNA is filed under the name Lysinibacillus sphaericus. Its description in RNAcentral is "bacterial SSU rRNA". It matches the Rfam family "Bacterial small subunit ribosomal RNA", at positions 33 to 1114 of the family's 1533-position model. The record is from RNAcentral. Lineage: Bacteria; Bacillati; Bacillota; Bacilli; Caryophanales; Bacillaceae.